GGGACAUUAGCUCAGUUGGUAGAGCAGCUGACUCUUAAUCAGCGGGUCGUAGGUUCGAUCCCUACAUGUCCCACUA
This 76-nucleotide transfer RNA is filed under the name Oceanobacillus caeni. Its description in RNAcentral is "tRNA-Lys". It matches the Rfam family "tRNA". From Rfam's summary of the family: Transfer RNA (tRNA) molecules are approximately 80 nucleotides in length. Their secondary structure includes four short double-helical elements and three loops (D, anti-codon, and T loops). Lineage: Bacteria; Bacillati; Bacillota; Bacilli; Caryophanales; Bacillaceae. The record is from RNAcentral.